RNAcentral lists this transfer RNA (71 nucleotides) under Cordylochernes scorpioides. Its description in RNAcentral is "tRNA-Ser". It matches the Rfam family "tRNA". From Rfam's summary of the family: Transfer RNA (tRNA) molecules are approximately 80 nucleotides in length. Their secondary structure includes four short double-helical elements and three loops (D, anti-codon, and T loops). Further hydrogen bonds mediate the characteristic L-shaped molecular structure. tRNAs have two regions of fundamental functional importance: the anti-codon, which is responsible for specific mRNA codon recognition, and the 3' end, to which the tRNAs corresponding amino acid is attached (by aminoacyl-tRNA synthetases). tRNAs cope with the degeneracy of the genetic code in two manners: having more than one tRNA (with a specific anti-codon) for a particular amino acid; and 'wobble' base-pairing, i.e. permitting non-standard base-pairing at the 3rd anti-codon position. Lineage: Eukaryota; Metazoa; Arthropoda; Arachnida; Pseudoscorpiones; Chernetidae. The record is from RNAcentral.
GCAUCGGUGGUUCUGUGGUAGAAUGCUCGCCUGCUACGCGGGCGGCCUGGGUUCGAUUCCCGGCCGAUUCA